GCACGCCGAGUCUGCCUUCGGGCAGGCGACACCCGCCUGUAGCUGGAAGGUUCCCCCGGGUCUCCGGGGGCAACGAUCAGCUGCUGCACGCCCGGGGCGUGCAGUUCACAGAUCAAACGCGGGUGGCCUGCGCCCGCAGGUUGAGAUAUGACCGUAGCAGCUCCGGCAGGAGCCUGGCAUGCUAGUUCCGUAGGUGAACCUGCGGAAGGAUCAUUA
RNAcentral lists this ribosomal RNA (216 nucleotides) under Caloplaca stillicidiorum. Its description in RNAcentral is "partial 18S ribosomal RNA". Lineage: Eukaryota; Fungi; Ascomycota; Lecanoromycetes; Teloschistales; Teloschistaceae. The record is from RNAcentral.